This 253-nucleotide ribosomal RNA is filed under the name uncultured bacterium. Its description in RNAcentral is "partial 16S ribosomal RNA". It matches the Rfam family "Bacterial small subunit ribosomal RNA", at positions 524 to 776 of the family's 1533-position model. The record is from RNAcentral.
UACGUAGGUGGCAAGCGUUGUCCGGAUUUACUGGGCGUAAAGAGCGCGCAGGCGGUCGUUCAAGUCGCGUGUGAAAGCCCCCGGCUCAACUGGGGAGGGUCACGCGAUACUGAUCGACUCGAAGGCAGGAGAGGGUAGUGGAAUUCCCGGUGUAGUGGUGAAAUGCGUAGAUAUCGGGAGGAACACCAGUGGCGAAGGCGACUACUUGGCCUGUUCUUGACGCUGAGGCGCGAAAGCUAGGGGAGCAAACGGG